RNAcentral lists this long non-coding RNA (421 nucleotides) under Trifolium pratense (red clover). RNAcentral's name for it is "long non-coding RNA (TPRA_LNC006966)". The record is from RNAcentral. Lineage: Eukaryota; Viridiplantae; Streptophyta; Magnoliopsida; Fabales; Fabaceae.
AGUAUUAAAUUAUCCUUACAUUGAUUUAUUAUAAGAGUUUUUUUUAUUAUUAUACAUUGAUUUGCCGUUGAUUUGUGGCUAUUUGAGAUGACUUGUAAAGUCAUCAAAAUUUAUUUGCUCCAUUUGUAAGGAAAAAUUCGAGUGGCAACCUGAAGUUUGCUUGGAGCUCAUUUAUAUAAAUGUACCAAUGAUUGGUAAAGGCACUCACUCGUUAAUAUGAUGAAACGUUUUUAAACGUACAUAAAUGACAAUAGUAACAAUUCAGCCCAAUUGAUUGCAUAAGUGUAAUCUUCUUUCAUUCAUAUAUGAAUAUCAAUAUGGAAACAAGAAAUGAAGAGAUGUUGAAUAUCUCUAUAUAUUACUAAUUUACUACACAUAUUUUGGAUAAAAUAAGUGUAAUGAAAAAGUUAUAAACCAGAAG